This 169-nucleotide small nuclear RNA is filed under the name Suricata suricatta (meerkat). RNAcentral describes it as "U2 spliceosomal RNA (ENSSSUG00005015626.1)". It matches the Rfam family "U2 spliceosomal RNA". From Rfam's summary of the family: U2 is a small nuclear RNA (snRNA) component of the spliceosome (involved in pre-mRNA splicing). Complementary binding between U2 snRNA (in an area lying towards the 5' end but 3' to hairpin I) and the branchpoint sequence (BPS) of the intron results the bulging out of an unpaired adenosine, on the BPS, which initiates a nucleophilic attack at the intronic 5' splice site, thus starting the first of two transesterification reactions that mediate splicing. The record is from RNAcentral. Lineage: Eukaryota; Metazoa; Chordata; Mammalia; Carnivora; Herpestidae.
AUCGCUUCUUGGCCUUUUGGCUAAGAUCAAGUGUAGUAUCUGUUCUUAUCAGUUUAAUAUUUUGAGUAAGGUAAUAAUGAGCUGUUUUACAGGAAACUGGCCAAAGGGUUUGCCAACUUCUUUAGGGCCAAUUCUGACAUCUGGCCAUGUCAGUAAGACAGCAAGGUAU